Molecule: long non-coding RNA, 975 nt
Filed under: Citrus sinensis (sweet orange)
Lineage: Eukaryota; Viridiplantae; Streptophyta; Magnoliopsida; Sapindales; Rutaceae
Description: long non-coding RNA (CSIN_LNC003999)
Source: RNAcentral
UGAUUUGACAUAUUGAGCUACAAUGUAGUAAGUUUUGGGUAAAUUAUUAGAUUCCUUAGAUACAGAUCUUCCCCCAGCUACUAGUAGUGAAUGGCAGAAAUGAUUUUUAAAUGGCUGGUGUUGCUUCCCUAUCUAGCAGGCCAUUGCGAUCUUGAAGACUUGAAGUUCUGAAAUACUAAUAAAUUCCUCAAAUGUUUCUUUUUUCUUGUUUCAUGCGUCUGGACCUGUUGAGACAUUUUUCAUGUUAUAUAUGAGGCUUGUAAAUUAUUUCUUUCCUUUUUUUUUUUUUAAUAGUUCCUUCAACCAGUCAAUAUGAGGCUUGUAAAUUAUUUCUUUCCUUCUUGUUUCAUGCGUCUGGACCUGUUGAGACAUUUUUCAUGUUAUAUAUGAGGCUUGUAAAUUAUUUCUUUCCUUUUUUUUUUUUUAAUAGUUCCUUCAACCAGUCAUUGUUUGAAAUACUAAUAAAUUUCUCAAAUGUUUCCUUUUUAUCAUUCCAUGUGUCUGGACCUGUUGAGACAUUUUUCAUGUUUUAUAUGAGGCUUGUAAUUUUUUUUUUUAAAUAGUUCCUUCAGCCUGUCAUUGUUUGAAAAACUAAUAAAUUUGUCAAAUGUUUCUUUUUCCUUUUCGAUGUAUCUGCACCUGUUGAGUCAUUUUGCAUCUUGUAUAUGAGGCUUGUAUAAUUUAUGUAUUUAUUUAUUUUUCAUCUUUAACUGGUACUGAGACACAAUACCUACAUAUGUUAGUUCUACAACCGGUGAGAAAAGCUUCACAGGCAUGCUAUGCAGUCUCUGUAACAGUACAGAGACUGCAUAUGCUUGUCUUGCAUAUGAGAUCAAUUUAUGUUAUUUAUGGUACAAUGAUUUGUCUCUUAGAUAACAAUGAUUUGUGUCUCUUAGAUACCAGUUUUUUGUGCUGCAGUCCCCUAUCACGUCAGGAUCUUGUAAGUUGGAAGAUGGCACUUGAGAAGAGACAACU